AAUAAGCUUUCACAUGCAACUAGAUUAACUCUAAUCAAUUCAGUUUUUGCUUCCAUCCCUGUGUACUACAUGUCAAAUAUUAUUUUCUCUAGAAAACUAAUUGCCAAACUUAAUGCUAUCAUUAGAAAUUUUUGGUGGACAGGAAUAAAAGAGGACCCAUCCAAGAAACCGCUCUGUCUUACGGCAUGGAAGGACAUUUGCACUCCAAAAGUUGAAGGAGGAUUAGGAAUCAAGAACAUCCAAGCAGUUAAUAGAGGACUAAUUCUGACUACAGCUUGGAGAAUUGCGGACGAACCGCAAAGCUUCUUGUCACAGGUACUUAAGUCCAAAUAUUUUCCUGAUACUUCUAUAUGGAGAGCAAAAAGUAAUAUUCCUAAAUCAGGAUUCUGGGCUUCACUUCUAAAGGUAAGACAUGUCCUUCAAGCAAAUUCAGUUUAUCAAAUUCUUGAUGGCAAUUCUUCUAUUUGGAGCACUCCUUGGUUUCCCCAUUGGCAAUCUAUUUAUGAGCAUUUACAAAUACAACCAGGACAUUAUGUCUAUCCUUCUCAGAUCAAGGAUUUGUGGAACCAGAAUCAGAAAAUAUGGAAUGCCGGUCUUAUUAAUAAUCUUUUUGAUCAUGAGGUGGCUAAUAGCAUUAUGCAUGUACCAACUAAUCAACAAGAGGGAGCUGAUAUCCUCUAUUGGAGAUUGCAUUCUUCAGGAAAAUGUACUUCAAAAUCUGCCUAUAAAGCGUGUCUA
Molecule: ribosomal RNA, 738 nt
Filed under: Triticum aestivum (bread wheat)
Lineage: Eukaryota; Viridiplantae; Streptophyta; Magnoliopsida; Poales; Poaceae
Description: partial small subunit ribosomal RNA
Source: RNAcentral